CGCGGCUCAGCUUCACUCCGCUCCGCUCGCCUCUUCCUCUCCCUCUUCUUCCUCCAGCAGCCUCCGCGUCUGUGUGAGCGUGUGCAGCUCGGGAUGUGACAGCAUGCUGGCUGCUGCGUUUCCAUUGGGAAAAAGAACCAAACUAAAAAAAAAAAAUAAGCUCAGCCCUCUCUGUGUUUUUUUUUUUGUCUUCUUCUUCUUUCCCGUCCGUCUUUCUGCUGCUCUUAUUGUCUUUUGCCGACAGUGAUAAAGAGAGCAGUUAAAUCGGGGGGGCCCUUGGUGAUCCUUUCUUUCUUUUUUUUGGAAUAAGAACAUAAGCAUCGCUGUUUUCUGACUUUGAGACAGAAGAGAGAAGAGACUCCUCUGGAAUUUCCCAAGGAAUUUAUCCGGACGGCUCCGUCGCCGGAGCUUUAUGUUCUCCUGCCUGGGUGCAUAAUGUUGCCAACUUUUCCACACUAGGGAAAUUCUGAGGAGUUCUGUUCUGUCUUCGCUCUAGUUUGAGGCAGCAAUCGCAAUUGUUGGUUCCAAAAAGGGUGGGGGAUAAAGGGGGCUUUAGUGUCUCUGGUGUGUCGGCGAGGUCGGCCCGCAGCAGCAAGCAUGGUGGCACCUGCAUGAGCCCGUCGGAGGAGCCUCGUUUCUCUUGUUCUCUUUCCUGAGAUGUCAACCACAGGAUGAGGCCUGCGGCAGAAUCCCAGCUUAACAAGUCAGAACUAUCCUCUUGACUCAGGUCUCAGGAGAGAGAAUGUUCCAUGACUUUCACACCUUCAACCUCAAGGCUGUGAAUACCCUGCAUCUGAGAAAUCAGACCAGACUGACUCACAGGGCUCUGUGAGCCAGUGCCACCGAGGCUGCCAAAGCAUGCUGGUGCCAAGCUGUCCCACCAUGCACAGAACCAGACCCACGCUGCUGCUGCUGCCGCCGCUGCUGCUGCUGCUGAUCCAGGGUCUGCUCCUCCACCUCGCCGACGCUCAAAGUAAGUGGACCAUACGCUUUAGG
Fundulus heteroclitus (mummichog) is the source of this 996-nucleotide long non-coding RNA. RefSeq lists it as uncharacterized. NCBI's taxonomy places the organism in Eukaryota, Metazoa, Chordata, Actinopteri, Cyprinodontiformes, Fundulidae. The transcript is spliced from 10 exons. The record is from RefSeq and is a predicted model, not a curated record.